UAGAUGGCACUGUGGAUGUGGGCUG
This 25-nucleotide unclassified non-coding RNA is filed under the name Mus musculus (house mouse). RNAcentral describes it as "piRNA piR-mmu-68350354". The record is from RNAcentral. Lineage: Eukaryota; Metazoa; Chordata; Mammalia; Rodentia; Muridae.